GCAGUGAUGGUUCAGUGAUAGAAUUCCCGACUUCCAUGCAGGAGACCUGGGUUCGAUCCUAGCCAAUGCA
Molecule: transfer RNA, 70 nt
Filed under: Loxodonta africana (African savanna elephant)
Lineage: Eukaryota; Metazoa; Chordata; Mammalia; Proboscidea; Elephantidae
Rfam family: tRNA
About the family: Transfer RNA (tRNA) molecules are approximately 80 nucleotides in length. Their secondary structure includes four short double-helical elements and three loops (D, anti-codon, and T loops).
Source: Rfam by way of RNAcentral